UAGUGGCAGACGGGUGAGUAAUGCAUAGGAAUCUACCUAGUAGUAUGGGAUAGCCACUGGAAAUGGUGGGUAAUACCGUAUAAUCCCCGCGGGGGAAAGAUUUAUCGCUAUUAGAUGAGCCUAUGUCGGAUUAGCUAGUUGGUGGGGUAAUGGCCUACCAAGGCAGUGAUCUGUAGCUGGUCUGAGAGGAUGAUCAGCCACACUGGAACUGAGACACGGUCCAGACUCCUACGGGAGGCAGCAGUGGGGAAUAUUGGACAAUGGGCGCAAGCCUGAUCCAGCUAUGCCGCGUGAGUGAGGAAGGCCUUAGGGUUGUAAAACUCUUUCAGUAGGGAAGAUAAUGACGGUACCUA
RNAcentral lists this ribosomal RNA (353 nucleotides) under Anaplasma phagocytophilum. Its description in RNAcentral is "bacterial SSU rRNA". It matches the Rfam family "Bacterial small subunit ribosomal RNA", at positions 93 to 481 of the family's 1533-position model. Lineage: Bacteria; Pseudomonadati; Pseudomonadota; Alphaproteobacteria; Rickettsiales; Anaplasmataceae. The record is from RNAcentral.